CAGCAGCCGCGGGAAUACGAAGGGUGCAAGCGUUAAUCGGAAUUACUGGGCGUAAAGCGCGCGUAGGUGGUUCAUUAAGUUGGAUGUGAAAGCCCUGGGCUCAACCUGGGAACUGCAUCCAAAACUGGUGAGCUAGAGUACGGUAGAGGGUAGUGGAAUUUCCUGUGUAGCGGUGAAAUGCGUAGAUAUAGGAAGGAACACCAGUGGCGAAGGCGACUACCUGGACUGAUACUGACACUGAGGUGCGAAAGCGUGGGGAGCAAACAGGAUUAGAUACCCCAGUAGUCCCUGUCUCUUAUAA
This 301-nucleotide ribosomal RNA is filed under the name uncultured bacterium. Its description in RNAcentral is "partial 16S ribosomal RNA". It matches the Rfam family "Bacterial small subunit ribosomal RNA", at positions 509 to 809 of the family's 1533-position model. The record is from RNAcentral.